RNAcentral lists this ribosomal RNA (200 nucleotides) under uncultured bacterium. RNAcentral's name for it is "partial 16S ribosomal RNA". It matches the Rfam family "Bacterial small subunit ribosomal RNA", at positions 524 to 718 of the family's 1533-position model. The record is from RNAcentral.
UACGUAGCAGCGAGCGUUGUUCGGAAUUACUGGGCGUAAAGAGUGUGUAGGCGGUGCUCUAAGUUCGGUGUGAAAUCUCCUGGCUCAACUGGGAGGGUGCGCCGGGAAACUGGAGUGCUUGAGCGUGGGAGAGGAAAGCGGAAGUUCCUGGUGGUAGCGGUGAAAUGGCGUAGAGUAUACAGGAGGAACACCUGUGGUGU